UUGAACUCUAGAGAAGUAUUCAGAUCCAUUCUCUUUUAAUUGAUGAACAGAGUAAUUGAUAGAAAUGUCGAAUUAUCCUCUCUUUCAUGGCAUCUGCAAAUCUCUCCUCUCUUUGUAUGUCCGAAAUUCAUCAAUCUUUCUAAUCUUCUAGCCUUUUUUUAGACUGAUUCAUCUUCUUAUUUCCUCGAAACCUGUUGCAUAUGAAAUCGCUCUUCCAAUUUUUAAUUUCUGGUUCUGCUUUACUCCAUUCUUCUAUUUUAAUUGGAAGGUCUGGUGUCACAAGCUAAACAAGAAUCUCUAACAAAGUAAAUGCGGACGAAAAUAAAAAAGAAGGUGAAAUAUCACGAAUUCUCAUAUAUACUCCAUACGAGCAGUCUAGCAAGAUGUAUGGUUCAAGAUAUUUUUUUAAGUUCAAGACUGCUAGGUUUAUAAUUCAAAAUUUUCUGUUGUAUGAUCAAUCGAUAAAAUAUUUGUUCUCUUUUAUAGUAUAUGUAUUGACAUUUACAUGUCGAUUCAUGCCCCCCAUUGAACAGUUGCCAGAAAAAUUAGAUUUGUUAGGAUAUUUCACAUGUUUUGUUAAGUAUAAAUUUAUUAUUUUCUUUUUUUUUUU
Molecule: long non-coding RNA, 610 nt
Organism: Capsicum annuum
Lineage: Eukaryota; Viridiplantae; Streptophyta; Magnoliopsida; Solanales; Solanaceae
Exons: 2
Source: RefSeq, a predicted model, not a curated record